This 253-nucleotide ribosomal RNA is filed under the name uncultured bacterium. RNAcentral's name for it is "partial 16S ribosomal RNA". It matches the Rfam family "Bacterial small subunit ribosomal RNA", at positions 524 to 776 of the family's 1533-position model. The record is from RNAcentral.
UACGUAGGGUGCGAGCGUUGUCCGGAAUUAUUGGGCGUAAAGAGCUCGUAGGCGGUGUGUCGCGUCGGCCGUGAAAACCUGCGGCUCAACUGCAGGCUGGCGGUCGAUACGGGCAGGCUGGAGUUCGGUAGGGGAGACUGGAAUUCCUGGUGUAGCGGUGAAAUGCGCAGAUAUCAGGAGGAACACCGGUGGCGAAGGCGGGUCUCUGGGCCGAUACUGACGCUGAGGAGCGAAAGCGUGGGGAGCGAACAGG